This 253-nucleotide ribosomal RNA is filed under the name uncultured bacterium. RNAcentral's name for it is "partial 16S ribosomal RNA". It matches the Rfam family "Bacterial small subunit ribosomal RNA", at positions 524 to 776 of the family's 1533-position model. The record is from RNAcentral.
UACGGAGGGAGCAAGCGUUGUCCGGAAUCAUUGGGCGUAAAGCGCGCGUAGGCGGCCUCGUAAGUCCGCUGUAAAAGUCACAGGCUCAACCUGUGAACGCCGGUGGAUACUGCGAGGCUAGAGUCCGGAAGAGGCGAGUGGAACUCCUGGUGUAGCGGUGGAAUGCGCAGAUAUCAGGAAGAACACCAACGGCGAAGGCAGCUCGCUGGGACGGUACUGACGCUGAGGCGCGAAAGCGUGGGGAGCGAACAGG